Molecule: ribosomal RNA, 426 nt
Filed under: uncultured bacterium
Lineage: Bacteria
Description: bacterial SSU rRNA
Rfam family: Bacterial small subunit ribosomal RNA
Source: RNAcentral
GUGAGGAAUAUUGCUCAAUGGGCGAAAGCCUGAAGCAGCAACGCCGCGUGCGCGAUGAAGGCCUUCGGGUCGUAAAGCGCUUUUGAGAGGGACGAGAUAGGACGGUACCUCUGGAAUAAGUCACGGCUAACUACGUGCCAGCAGCCGCGGUAAAACGUAGGUGGCAAGCGUUAUCCGGAUUCACUGGGCGUAAAGCGCGUGCAGGUGGCUUCGUAAGUUGGACGUUAAAUCUCCCGGCCUAACCGGGAGGAGUCGUUCAAUACUGCGGGGCUGGAGGGCAGAAGAGGGGGGUGGAAUUGCUGGUGUAGUGGUGAAAUGCGUAGAUAUCAGCAGGAACACCCGUGGCGAAAGCGGCCCCCUGGUCUGCUCCUGACACUCAGACGCGAAAGCUAGGGGAGUGAACGGGAUUAGAAACCCCAGUAGUCC